RNAcentral lists this ribosomal RNA (486 nucleotides) under Triticum aestivum (bread wheat). Its description in RNAcentral is "partial small subunit ribosomal RNA". The record is from RNAcentral. Lineage: Eukaryota; Viridiplantae; Streptophyta; Magnoliopsida; Poales; Poaceae.
AUGCUAGUCUACAAUUUGUCAUUGUCACAGUGUUUGCAAUUUUUUUUCUGCAGGUCAUGCUCAACUUUUUCACCCUCUAAACCUGCUCAGUGCCAAGGCGAAGGGAAGCCCCAAUCACCAAGAUGGCGGAGAAGCUUCUGUAUUGUCGUCUUGGCAUCACAGAAGAGGGUGUUCCAAGGCCGUCUGCCAUCCAUUGCCAUCGAUGCAUUGCGCGCCCUCUUCCAACUUGACUGUGACCUCUCCACAGCCAUCGAAGAUGCUCCUGUUGCCCAUGGAGUGAUCUGGACCGCCAAAGACACACAGAUGGUUGUGGUUUCCGCUGUGGUCGAGUUCCCUGAUCGUAGCUUAGUCUUUUGUGAGAUGUGUGUUGAGAUGCUGCUUGCUGUACCAACCAGCAGUCUGCUUCUCGUGAUGUUCCCCUUGCUGUACCAACCAGCAGUUUGUUUACCCUGUUGGGCAACUGUAGGGGUUGUGAAAUGUAGGUAA